Molecule: transfer RNA, 71 nt
Filed under: Elusimicrobiota bacterium
Lineage: Bacteria; Pseudomonadati; Elusimicrobiota
Description: Elusimicrobia bacterium (groundwater metagenome) tRNA-Gly
Rfam family: tRNA
About the family: Transfer RNA (tRNA) molecules are approximately 80 nucleotides in length. Their secondary structure includes four short double-helical elements and three loops (D, anti-codon, and T loops). Further hydrogen bonds mediate the characteristic L-shaped molecular structure. tRNAs have two regions of fundamental functional importance: the anti-codon, which is responsible for specific mRNA codon recognition, and the 3' end, to which the tRNAs corresponding amino acid is attached (by aminoacyl-tRNA synthetases). tRNAs cope with the degeneracy of the genetic code in two manners: having more than one tRNA (with a specific anti-codon) for a particular amino acid; and 'wobble' base-pairing, i.e. permitting non-standard base-pairing at the 3rd anti-codon position.
Source: RNAcentral
GCGGGCGUAGUUCACCGGUAGAAUGCGACCUUGCCAAGGUCGAGAAGUGGGUUCAAUUCCCAUCGCCCGCU